Long non-coding RNA from Austrofundulus limnaeus, 252 nucleotides. RefSeq lists it as uncharacterized. The record is from RefSeq and is a predicted model, not a curated record. The transcript has 3 exons. NCBI's taxonomy places the organism in Eukaryota, Metazoa, Chordata, Actinopteri, Cyprinodontiformes, Rivulidae.
AAUGAUCCAACGGCCGUAAUGGAGACAUGACACUGGUUAAAUACAACUGAGGAUGAUUGGGAGUGGAAGCACCUGGGUGAAUACAGACCAUGGACAGUUCUGAAGCCCAGUUUGAACUUCUUCAUCGUCUUCACCAAGUCUACAAGAGAACAGACAGAGGCACUUUGUGGAACAGAUUUUGAUUCUUGAUCAGGUGUGAGUGAGAUGAAGAACUCAAAGAGCACAAACAGAUGACGGCAGACAGCCAAUAGG